AAUUUUGGAUAAUGGGGGAAACCCUGAUCCAGCCAUCCCGCGUGUAUGAGGAAGGCGUUCGGGUUGUGAAGUACUUUGGGCAUAGAAGAAAAGGUAUCACCGAAUACGUGAUAGAGCUGACGGUACGUGCAGAAUAAGCACCGGCUAACGACGUGCGAGCGGCCGGGGUAAGACGUAGGGUGAAAGGGUUAAUCGGAAUUACUGGGCGUAAAGCGUGUGUAAGCCGUUCGGAUAGAAAUAUGUGAAAUCCCAUGGCUCAACCUUGGGACUUCAUUUUUAACUUCCGGGCUAGGGUAUGUCAGAGGGGAGUAGAAUUCCACGUGUAGCAGUGAAAUGCGUAGAUAUGUGGAGGCAUCCCGAUGGCGGAGGCAGCCCCCUGGGAUAAUACUGACGCUCAGACCCGAAAGCGUGGGGAGCAAACAAG
RNAcentral lists this ribosomal RNA (424 nucleotides) under uncultured bacterium. Its description in RNAcentral is "partial 16S ribosomal RNA". It matches the Rfam family "Bacterial small subunit ribosomal RNA", at positions 360 to 776 of the family's 1533-position model. The record is from RNAcentral.